UGGGGAAUUUUGGACAAUGGGCGAAAGCCUGAUCCCAGCAAUGCCGCGUGUGUGAAGAAGGCCUUCGGGUUGUAAAGCACUUUUGUCCGGAAAGAAAUCCUUGGCUCUAAUACAGUCGGGGGAUGACGGUACCGGAAGAAUAAGCACCGGCUAACUACGUGCCAGCAGCCGCGGUAAUACGUAGGGUGCAAGCGUUAAUCGGAAUUACUGGGCGUAAAGCGUGCGCAGGCGGUUUGCUAAGACCGAUGUGAAAUCCCCGGGCUCAACCUGGGAACUGCAUUGGUGACUGGCAGGCUAGAGUAUGGCAGAGGGGGGUAGAAUUCCACGUGUAGCAGUGAAAUGCGUAGAGAUGUGGAGGAAUACCGAUGGCGAAGGCAGCCCCCUGGGCCAAUACUGACGCUCAUGCACGAAAGCGU
This 416-nucleotide ribosomal RNA is filed under the name uncultured bacterium. RNAcentral's name for it is "partial 16S ribosomal RNA". It matches the Rfam family "Bacterial small subunit ribosomal RNA", at positions 355 to 762 of the family's 1533-position model. The record is from RNAcentral.